CUGGGUGUAGCUCAGGAGUGAGAGCGCGCGGUCGGGGACCGCGAGGACGCUGGUGCGAUUCCAGUCACUCAGA
Molecule: transfer RNA, 73 nt
Filed under: Kofleriaceae bacterium
Lineage: Bacteria; Pseudomonadati; Myxococcota; Haliangiales; Kofleriaceae
Description: tRNA-Pro
Rfam family: tRNA
About the family: Transfer RNA (tRNA) molecules are approximately 80 nucleotides in length.
Source: RNAcentral